UGCCAGCAGCCGCGGUAAUACGGAGGGUGCAAGCGUUGCUCGGAAUUACUGGGCGUAAAGCGGGCGCAGGCGGCCUGUCGGGUCAGGUGUGAAAGCCCGGGGCUCAACCCCGGAACUGCAUCUGAAACCGGCAAGCUUGAGUACGAGAGAGGGAAGCGGAAUUCCUGGUGUAGAGGUGAAAUUCGUAGAUAUCAGGAGGAACAUCAGCGGCGAAGGCGGCUUCCUGGCUCGAUACUGACGCUCAUGCCCGAAAGCGUGGGGAGCAAACAGGAUUAGAUA
Molecule: ribosomal RNA, 279 nt
Filed under: uncultured bacterium
Lineage: Bacteria
Description: partial 16S ribosomal RNA
Rfam family: Bacterial small subunit ribosomal RNA
Source: RNAcentral